Canis lupus familiaris (dog) is the source of this 2514-nucleotide long non-coding RNA. RefSeq lists it as uncharacterized. The record is from RefSeq and is a predicted model, not a curated record. Lineage: Eukaryota; Metazoa; Chordata; Mammalia; Carnivora; Canidae. The transcript is spliced from 2 exons.
GACCCUGGCGUCAACUUUGGAAAUGAACGAGUCUGUCUCUCCCUCUCCUUGAUUUUUUUUUUCCUUUCCUUUUUUUCUGAUUUUCUUUCUUCUUUCUUUCUUCCUCCUCUCUCUUCCCAUCCUUCCCACUACCCCGCCUCCCUCCCUCCCUCUCUCUCUUUCCUCCCUUUAAGGCAUUAAAGGGACAUUAGAAGGACAAGGACAACAAAAGCCAUUUUCCUGCAAGAGAAAGAAAGGAUCCCAGGCCCUGUGUCUUCUCUUCCAGUUGUUCAGGCUAUUAUGGUACUACAAAUAGUGUUCCCCAAUUUGUUGUAUGGCCGGAGAGAAUCCACAGUGAGGGCUUUGGGUUGACGGCCUUCAUUAAAUCACCCAACUUGAGAAGCUGCCAAUGCCUGGAGGUCACCUGUUCUGGAUAUUACAUAUAAAUGGAACCACGUCUUGGAGCGCAGCUACUUUCGGAGGUGUCCUUGUGACCUGUGGGAAGCUCACCCGGUCGUACCCAACGUUGGCCCAGCAGGUGCUCCACAGAUGCAUCCUCUCUCCACCUGCUGUCAUUCCGUUUUCCUCCUUCCUGGCUCGGAGGGCAAACAGCACCUUGCUGUGCAAGCAGGGAAUGGACUGCUUGCUUUUUCUCAGCCCCUAUGGGUGCGUCUCUGCGGGAAUCCCUCCCCUACACAAGUAGGGGGUGGAUGGAGAAGAAGGCAUGUCCCCAAUGCACAGAGAAAAAGCCAUUGUAUUCACUGGCCAGUCUCUCCCGAUUCCCACUGCCUCGCCUCCCCCGCAGAAGUGCUUACCUGGCCUGACGUGGGCUAAUUAUAGCGGAAGCCCAGUUAAUAAGCCCUGGGGGAGUGUGGCAUCUGUCCCCAUUUCUCCCCUAUAUCCUUUACCAUAUGUGUUAUUUAGCUGCUGUUGUUUCCAGCUGCAGGCCCCAGGACCAACCUGCCGCAGGAAGGUCCUAUCUGAUGUCGACUCACAGGUCAUUUUGAUAAUGUUCCUCCCCCACUCAGCGACUUUCCAUGGCUCUCUUUUAGGAAUGGGUAAAUCCCAAACUCCUGACUUUGCAUUCAAGGCCCUCGACCAACUAGUUGCAAUUUCGCUUUCCUUCUCACUAUGCCCCACACAGACUCUGCUCCUUUCAAGCUGGCCUGCUCUACUCACUGCCCCCAGAACGGCCUCGCUCCAUUUGGGCUGGGGUCCUUCCCUCUCUCAGCCCCACCUGGAAUGUGCUCCCCUCUUCCUGGACGGAAGGCUCUUGGCCAAUGAAGCUUGACCCACCUGUCCCCUCAUCCGCCGUCGUGUCCUUGAUGAGGGAAACCAGCAGAGCCGGACAGAAAGGGGACUAGCCAAGGCCACAGAACCCAAGCCUUUUUCCUGGCUGGUGAGAGUGUCGUGAGGAAUCAGUAGGGAAGGGGACUCUGGGUGGCUCCACCGUCUUCCAGGGACACCUGCCUGGAGCCUGCUGGGACUGGGGAUGGAGAAAGGAUGGAUGGUCAUGCACAUUCUGUUUGGGGUUCCUUCAGGUUGAGCCAGAGGUGCAUUCUGGGGUGGCAGGUUUAGGUGCAGAGAUGGGGAGAAGGGAGAGAGCCAGAGAGUUGAAAGGGUAGGGAAGGGAAGGCAGAAACAGAGGAAGGGCCAAGUCAAUGUGGGGCGAGGUGGGAGGGGAAUAGAUUUAGGAAUCCCAGACUCUGGGGAGAAGUGGGGUCUUUCUCAUCUUGCCAGAGGGAGGAGACCCUGCUCAUUGGCUCCUGCUGAUUCUGUGCUCCCCCCUGCUCUCCCUCCUCCCCUCACCCAUCAUCCCCUUAUCCUCGAGUCACCUGCCUUAACCGGGGAGAGCGGCCCCAGCCCAGGGUGUGCUCCUCCCCGGCACCCUCCUCUCUGCGCUGUGCCCAGCUCGGUUUUUGUGCUUCUGCUUUGGUUUAUUUCAGCUGGAGGAGCUGACCUGGGCCGCGGAGGGACAGUCCCUGCUCUGGUCACUUCCCCCGUCCGUGCAGCCUGACCUUUCUCAGGAUGCUUAGAGCCACCGUGACGCCAGAAGCGUGCCUUGGCCAAGCUGGCACCUGCACGGCGCGUGCCCAGAGCCCGCGGGUCGUCUUCUUUCCGGGGCCCUCGGCUAGGCCCUGGCUCGCUCAGGCCAGCGGGCAGCGUUCUGCGGCGAGGUCCGCGGACGCCCGCACAUCUUGGCUCCCUUACACGUGAGGGCACGGGGAGGUCUCAGGAAAGCUCAGGAUUCACGGGCUUCUCCAGGGCCUGGGAUGUGGUGCGCCCUCAGCUGAGGGGGCCGCUGCCCUCUUCUGGGGUGUCAGUAUUAUCCCCGCAGGCAUUCUCGGCCUGGAUCCUUGGCGCCUGGACUGCUGCGUCUGCAAAGACGCCUGGCCCCCAAACGCUCCCUUCCAUUGGGUCAGUGGCUGUUGGAUUCACUUUGCUAAAAGCCAUCUCUUAUCUUGUCACUCUUCCCCUCAAUAACCGUCAGUGGCUCCCGCUGCCCACGGAAUAAAUAACCGAUUUGUGCCUUCA